RNAcentral lists this ribosomal RNA (492 nucleotides) under Botrytis cinerea. Its description in RNAcentral is "eukaryotic LSU rRNA". The stretch from base 139 to 292 matches the Rfam family "5.8S ribosomal RNA". Lineage: Eukaryota; Fungi; Ascomycota; Leotiomycetes; Helotiales; Sclerotiniaceae. The record is from RNAcentral.
GACCCGAAAGGGUAGACCUCCCACCCUUGUGUAUUAUUACUUUGUUGCUUUGGCGAGCUGCCUUCGGGCCUUGUAUGCUCGCCAGAGAAUACCAAAACUCUUUUUAUUAAUGUCGUCUGAGUACUAUAUAAUAGUUAAAACUUUCAACAACGGAUCUCUUGGUUCUGGCAUCGAUGAAGAACGCAGCGAAAUGCGAUAAGUAAUGUGAAUUGCAGAAUUCAGUGAAUCAUCGAAUCUUUGAACGCACAUUGCGCCCCUUGGUAUUCCGGGGGGCAUGCCUGUUCGAGCGUCAUUUCAACCCUCAAGCUUAGCUUGGUAUUGAGUCUAUGUCAGUAAUGGCAGGCUCUAAAAUCAGUGGCGGCGCCGCUGGGUCCUGAACGUAGUAAUAUCUCUCGUUACAGGUUCUCGGUGUGCUUCUGCCAAAACCCAAAUUUUUCUAUGGUUGACCUCGGAUCAGGUAGGGAUACCCGCUGAACUUAAGCAUAUCAAUAA